This 158-nucleotide ribosomal RNA is filed under the name Sporothrix stenoceras. RNAcentral's name for it is "5.8S ribosomal RNA". It matches the Rfam family "5.8S ribosomal RNA". Rfam says of the family: 5.8S ribosomal RNA (5.8S rRNA) is a component of the large subunit of the eukaryotic ribosome. It is transcribed by RNA polymerase I as part of the 45S precursor that also contains 18S and 28S rRNA. Functionally, it is thought that 5.8S rRNA may be involved in ribosome translocation. Lineage: Eukaryota; Fungi; Ascomycota; Sordariomycetes; Ophiostomatales; Ophiostomataceae. The record is from RNAcentral. RNAcentral also lists the same sequence under 52 other names.
AAACUUUCAACAACGGAUCUCUUGGCUCUGGCAUCGAUGAAGAACGCAGCGAAAUGCGAUACGUAAUGUGAAUUGCAGAAUUCAGCGAACCAUCGAAUCUUUGAACGCACAUUGCGCCCGCCAGUAUUCUGGCGGGCAUGCCUGUCCGAGCGUCAUUU